Molecule: long non-coding RNA, 777 nt
Organism: Mesocricetus auratus (golden hamster)
Lineage: Eukaryota; Metazoa; Chordata; Mammalia; Rodentia; Cricetidae
Exons: 2
Source: RefSeq, a predicted model, not a curated record
GGAAGUAGAAGCAGGAGCAGCUACCUGCAGAAGAGCACCGCGGACGGCGAGAGGCACCCACUGACGAGUCGCUCUCCUCGCUGCUCUCCUUCACGCGGUGACAAAGGACCCCACCAAAAGCAGCUUCAGGAUGGAAGGGUUCGCUGUGGCUCUCAGUCUGAGGAAACGCCGUCCACUGUGGUAGGGAAGGCACUGGGGGCGUGAAUAAGCUGGUCACAUGGCGUCUGCACUCAGGAAGCUGAGAGAGCACGCAAGCCAGGAAUGCCCAGACUGCUCCAAGGAGGGGUAAUUUGCUAACUCCAGCCUGUUCCAAGAUCAACAGAAAGCUUGUACUGCCAGGCUCCUCCUACAGCCUGUGAAAAAUGAUGUGUAUUUUCUCUUUUACACUAUGCAUGCUGGUGCACGGGUGUGCUUAAAUCACGUGUCUAUGAAUGGGUGCAUGUGGUGCAUGUGUGCGAGAUGGGCGGGGGGAGGCACUGAACUGCAUAUCCUCCCCGUGCUGAAACAGCACUGCUGAGAACUGGACACAGUGAAGAGAGCUGGGGGAACCACGCACUGGACCACAUAUCCUCCCCGUGGAACAGCGCUGCUGAGACCUGGACAAAGAAAUGCUUUCUGGUUGAAUUCCCACCCACACUUCCUUCCAGCUUGUCUAUCCCUAAACCCUACGAGGCAGAAAAGCCCUGGGUCUCCCAUAGCUCUUUUGUGCCCAAGAAAUAAAUCCAUACUGGAGAAGGUUGCAGGAGGAGAGGUUCUCAGUAUGGUGACGAAGACCGA